GUGCUCACUUCAGCAGCACAUAUACAAAAAUCAGAAUGAUACAGAGCAGAUGAGCAUGGCCCCCCCACACAAGGAUGACACGCAAAUUCGUGAGGUGUUCCACGUUUUU
Molecule: small nuclear RNA, 109 nt
Organism: Callorhinus ursinus (northern fur seal)
Lineage: Eukaryota; Metazoa; Chordata; Mammalia; Carnivora; Otariidae
Source: RefSeq, a predicted model, not a curated record